GAUGAACGCUGGCGGCGUGCUUAACACAUGCAAGUCGAACGGUGAAGGCGGAGCUUGCUCUGCUGGAUCAGUGGCGAACGGGUGAGUAACACGUGAGCAAUCUGCCCCUGACUCUGGGAUAAGCGCUGGAAACGGCGUCUAAUACUGGAUACGAGCUGCGAAGGCAUCUUCAGCAGCUGGAAAGAAUUUCGGUCAGGGAUGAGCUCGCGGCCUAUCAGCUUGUUGGUGAGGUACUGGCUCACCAAGGCGUCGACGGGUAGCCGGCCUGAGAGGGUGACCGGCCACCCUGCGACUGAGACACGGCCCAGACUCCUACGGGAGGCAGCAGUGGGGAAUAUUGCACAAUGGGCGAAAGCCUGAUGCAGCAACGCCGCGUGGGGGACGACGGCCUUCGGGUUGUAAACCUCUUUUAGCAGGGAAGAAGCGAAAGUGACGGUACCUGCAGAAAAAGCGCCGGCUAACUACGUG
RNAcentral lists this ribosomal RNA (468 nucleotides) under uncultured bacterium. RNAcentral describes it as "partial 16S ribosomal RNA". It matches the Rfam family "Bacterial small subunit ribosomal RNA", at positions 28 to 507 of the family's 1533-position model. The record is from RNAcentral.